Molecule: ribosomal RNA, 424 nt
Filed under: uncultured bacterium
Lineage: Bacteria
Description: bacterial SSU rRNA
Rfam family: Bacterial small subunit ribosomal RNA
Source: RNAcentral
UCAGCCGCCGCGGUAAUACGUAGGUGGCGAGCGUUGUCCGGAUUUACUGGGUGUAAAGGGCGAGUAGGCGGGAUGGCAAGUCAGGUGUGAAAUUUAUGGGCUUAACCCAUAAACUGCAUUUGAAACUGCUGUUCUUGAGUGAUGGAGAGGCAGGCGGAAUUCCUAGUGUAGCGGUGAAAUGCGUAGAUAUUAGGAGGAACACCAGUGGCGAAGGCGGCCUGCUGGACAUUAACUGACGCUGAUGCGCGAAAGCGUGGGGAGCAAACAGGAUUAGAUACCCUGGUAGUCCACGCUGUAAACGAUGGAUACUAGGUGUGGGGGGUAUUGACCCCUUCCGUGCCGGAGUUAACACAAUAAGUAUCCCACCUGGGGAGUACGGCCGCAAGGUUGAAACUUAAAGGAAUUGACGGGGGCCCGCACAAGC